GCCUCUGUAGCUCAAAGGAUAGAGCAGCCCUUUUGCGAAGGGAAGGUAGCGGGUUCGAAUCCCGUCAGGGAUU
Molecule: transfer RNA, 73 nt
Filed under: Clavibacter michiganensis subsp. insidiosus
Lineage: Bacteria; Bacillati; Actinomycetota; Actinomycetes; Micrococcales; Microbacteriaceae
Also listed under: 1 other name
Description: tRNA-Ala (TGC) (tRNA-Ala-TGC-2-1)
Rfam family: tRNA
About the family: Transfer RNA (tRNA) molecules are approximately 80 nucleotides in length. Their secondary structure includes four short double-helical elements and three loops (D, anti-codon, and T loops).
Source: RNAcentral